UAAUGAGGCCUGGUCCAAUGCUCUGUGUUUUUUUAUGAUUUUAUUUCUUUUUUCUUUUUUUAUUUUAAAUUUCUUUUUCUUUUAAAAUUCAUAGAAAAUUCAUCUUUAAUCCGAAAUAUCCCAAAAUAAUUUCUAAACUUUCCUUUUAUUUUUCGUCAUCUGCUUUUAUUUUUUCAUAUUUUAUUUUCUUGGAUUUUUUAUUUUCCCCGUUGUUUAAUUGGUUUAAAAAUAUUUUUAUGCAUUUAAAAUUUCUGAAAAAAUU
This 262-nucleotide long non-coding RNA is filed under the name Lathyrus oleraceus (garden pea). RNAcentral describes it as "Pisum sativum (pea) long non-coding RNA (PSAT_LNC012678)". The record is from RNAcentral. Lineage: Eukaryota; Viridiplantae; Streptophyta; Magnoliopsida; Fabales; Fabaceae.